CAGCCAGGAGAUACCGGAGACUGGCCCAUUGUGCACCGAACUGGCAUAACCAGACCCUGUCCCAUGUGGCGCUGUACAGAUGUGAGGAACAGAAAAAGCAGGACUGCGCUGCCAUGGAUCUACCAGGUGACCAGUAAAAAUUACUGUUGAAGGGCUGGGCUUCUGAGAGAACAUCAGGUCUGGGUCUCCUUGGUCAUCCGCACGCAGAAGGGCGAAGAAGCCAGGCAGGAGAGUGCUGGCCAGACAGGGCAUCACCGUGCCAGCUCUCACAGCAACCCAGCCGGCAGGGACAGCCUCCUGCGUGAGCUUGCGCACAGUAUUUAUGUUCUUUUUUCUCCUGCCUUUUGCCUUUAUAUUGCCUCAGAGAUGAUGUGAAGAUAAACAUGUAGCAGAUUGUAAAAUGACUCUUUGAUCACGAGCAGAAUAAAAGGCAGAAACGUCUCUCA
This is a long non-coding RNA of Cygnus atratus (black swan), 446 nucleotides long. RefSeq lists it as uncharacterized. Lineage: Eukaryota; Metazoa; Chordata; Aves; Anseriformes; Anatidae. The transcript is spliced from 2 exons. The record is from RefSeq and is a predicted model, not a curated record.